Molecule: ribosomal RNA, 497 nt
Filed under: uncultured bacterium
Lineage: Bacteria
Description: partial 16S ribosomal RNA
Rfam family: Bacterial small subunit ribosomal RNA
Source: RNAcentral
GAUGAACGCUGGCGGCGUGCCUAAUACAUGCAAGUCGAGCGAACGGACGAGAAGCGUUCUUCUCUGAUGUUAGCGGCGGACGGGGGAGUAAGACGUGGAUAACCGACCUAUAACACUGGGAUAACUUCGGGAAACCGGAGCUAAUACCGGAUAAUAUUUUGAACCGCAUUGUUCAAAAGUGAAAGACGGUCUUGCUGUCACUUAUAGACUGAUCCGCGCUGCAUUAGCUAGUUGGUAAGGUAACGGCUUACCAAGGCAACGAUGCAUAGCCGACCUGAGAGGGUGAACGGCCACAUUGGAACUGAGACACGGCCCAGACUCCUACGGGAGGCAGCAGUAGGGAAUCUUCCGCAAUGGGCGAAAGCCUGACGGAGCAAUGCCGCGUGAGUGAUGAAGGUCUUCGGAUUGUAAAACUCUGUUCUUAGGGAAGAAAAUAUGUGUAAGUAACUGUGAACACUUUGACGGUAGCUAAUCAGAAAGCCCCGGCUAACUACGUG